This 253-nucleotide ribosomal RNA is filed under the name uncultured bacterium. Its description in RNAcentral is "partial 16S ribosomal RNA". It matches the Rfam family "Bacterial small subunit ribosomal RNA", at positions 524 to 776 of the family's 1533-position model. The record is from RNAcentral.
UACGGAGGGUGCGAGCGUUGUCCGGAAUCACUGGGCGUAAAGGGCGCGUAGGCGGUUCGUACAGUCAGACGUGAAAUUCCUGGGCUCAACCUGGGGGCUGCGUUUGAUACGUGCGGACUUGAGUGCGGAAGAGGGUCGUGGAAUUCCCAGUGUAGAGGUGAAAUUCGUAGAUAUUGGGAAGAACACCGGUGGCGAAGGCGGCGACCUGGUCCGAUACUGACGCUGAGGCGCGAAAGCGUGGGGAGCAAACAGG